This 274-nucleotide ribosomal RNA is filed under the name Rypticus bicolor (mottled soapfish). RNAcentral describes it as "partial 12S ribosomal RNA". It matches the Rfam family "Bacterial small subunit ribosomal RNA", at positions 1185 to 1533 of the family's 1533-position model. The record is from RNAcentral. Lineage: Eukaryota; Metazoa; Chordata; Actinopteri; Perciformes; Serranidae.
UCAGGUCGAGGUGUAGCGUAUGGAAAGGGAAGAAAUGGGCUACAUUCCCUACCACAGGGAAUCACGAAAAAUAUCACUGAAACGUGUAUCUAGAAGGAGGAUUUAGCAGUAAGCAGAAAAUAGAGCGUUCUGCUGAAACUGGCCCUGAAGCGCGCACACACCGCCCGUCACUCUCCCCGAGCGAACUCUCACAACUUAACUUAAAACCUUUUAACAGCAAAGGGGAGGCAAGUCGUAACAUGGUAAGUGUACCGGAAGGUGCACUUGGCUAAAG